Molecule: ribosomal RNA, 449 nt
Filed under: uncultured bacterium
Lineage: Bacteria
Description: partial 16S ribosomal RNA
Rfam family: Bacterial small subunit ribosomal RNA
Source: RNAcentral
AACGAACGCUGGCGGCAUGCCUAACACAUGCAAGUCGAACGAGAUCUUCGGGUCUAGUGGCGCACGGGUGCGCAACGCGUGGGAAUCUGCCCUUUGGUUCGGAAUAACAGUUGGAAACGACUGCUAAUACCGGAUGAUGACGAAAGUCCAAAGAUUUAUCGCCAGAGGAUGAGCCCGCGUAGGAUUAGCUAGUUGGUGUGGUAAAGGCGCACCAAGGCGACGAUCCUUAGCUGGUCUGAGAGGAUGAUCAGCCACACUGGGACUGAGACACGGCCCAGACUCCUACGGGGGGCAGCAGUGGGGAAUAUUGGACAAUGGGCGAAAGCCUGAUCCAGCAAUGCCGCGUGAGUGAUGAAGGCCUUAGGGUUGUAAAGCUCUUUUACCCGGGAUGAUAAUGACAGUACCGGGAGAAUAAGCUCCGGCUAACUCCGUGCCAGCCGCCGCGGUAA